This is a long non-coding RNA of Oxyura jamaicensis (ruddy duck), 443 nucleotides long. RefSeq lists it as uncharacterized. The transcript is spliced from 3 exons. NCBI's taxonomy places the organism in Eukaryota, Metazoa, Chordata, Aves, Anseriformes, Anatidae. The record is from RefSeq and is a predicted model, not a curated record.
GAAUACUGAGCAACAGUGUUGGCCCAGGCAGAGCCCCUGGAAAGGAAACGAGAACGGUCAUUGGCAUCACACUCACACCUCCCCAGGAGCAGGGGGCACUACUCACGUGAUUCCCAGGUGGAACACGUAGAGGAAGACGCAGUUGGCGAUCACGUUGACGAUGUUGCCGACGAUCCCGCUCAGCACCAGGGGCCACAUGAUCAUCUGCAAACAGGAGGGGACGGGGCUGCAGCAGCUGCGGGGCCAGCCUCGCCAGCCACAAUCCCCGCAGCUUUCAGAGCCAGAGAGGAAACUUCUGAUGUCGUCACCAGCUCGGAAAAUGAACACUUUGAAGGUCACAGGCAGCUCCAGCUCCAUCCCCGUAUCCCACCCCAGCAUCAGUGGGUACCCAGCACCAGGGCAGCCCCGCAGUGUUCUUACCGCUAUGGCCAGCGUGACGGAGG